GACGAACGCUGGCGGCGUGCUUAACACAUGCAAAUCGAACGGGCCUGUCUUCUUUUUUGGGGGUGGGUUGAGUGGCGAACGGGUGAGUAUCACGUGAGUAACCUGCCCUUCGGUCCUGGAUAACCGCUUGAAAGGGCGGCUAAUACGGGGUGGUCCGGUUGGUCCGCAUGGGCUGGUCGGGAUAGAUUCACUGUUUUUGGUGUUUCGGCGGGGGAUGGGCUCGCGGCCUAUCAGCUUGUUGGUGGGGUGAUGGCCUACCAAGGCGGUGACGGGUAGCCGGCCUGAGAGGGUGGGCGGCCACACUGGGACUGAGAUACGGCCCAGACUCCUGCGGGAGGCAGCAGUGGGGGGUAUUGCACAAUGGGCGGAAGCCUGAUGCAGCGACGUCGCGUGAGGGAUGGAGGCCUUCGGGUUGUGAACCUCUGUUUCCGGUGGUGAAGGCCCUGUCCGUGUGGUGGGGUUGACGGUAGCCGGGGAUGAAGCGCCGGCUAACUACGUG
This 499-nucleotide ribosomal RNA is filed under the name uncultured bacterium. Its description in RNAcentral is "partial 16S ribosomal RNA". It matches the Rfam family "Bacterial small subunit ribosomal RNA", at positions 28 to 507 of the family's 1533-position model. The record is from RNAcentral.